Pezoporus occidentalis (night parrot) is the source of this 1041-nucleotide long non-coding RNA. RefSeq lists it as uncharacterized. The record is from RefSeq and is a predicted model, not a curated record. The transcript has 3 exons. Lineage: Eukaryota; Metazoa; Chordata; Aves; Psittaciformes; Psittacidae.
UCUGUGCUUCUGGGUGCUUAAUGCAGACAGCAUAGAGCCAGGAAAUGGAGGGGGUGCAUGACUGAGAAUGUUAUUUUACAUCACUGACCAGCCCCCUCCUAUUUUCAAACAGCUGGGGACUACCUGACCUGCAGCUUCCAGGAGAUACCGUACCUUAGAUCCUGACCGUUAUCAUCUGAUGAUACAUCAUCUAUGUGGAUCUGGUCACAGUCCUGAGAAGCGUAUGGAAAAAAAAUACAGCAGUAAAACAAGACAGAAAGCCUUCAUUCCAGCUGAUGAACUCUUAUCCUUUGCUCUGGUUGAUUUUUCAAUAGAAGAAAAAAGUGCUUGGUACAACAGGAUUCCAAAGUCAGAAGAAUUGCAACUAACCAAGGUACAGUCAGUCUGUGCCACGCAACCUGCCUCCACGUGGGACCAGACCCCUGCACCCACAUGUGAAGGAGCCUGAGCUAAUGCAGACUUGAAACAGUACUGCAGGCUUGGAGAAAGCCUCUGCUGCCUCCUUGUGAAACACAAGCUGUUCCUGAGGAUGUGUGGAGAAGCGCCUUCUGUUAUCGCUUAUGCUCGUUCUGAAUGCCGUUGAGGUAUGUCUUGUGCACAUAUGAAAACAACUGAUGAAUGCACAGCUUGUCACUGUUUGCAUAUCAGGACUGUGUGAGAGAUUUUUAAACAUCUUAUGGAUUCGUUUAUCAGCCAAGCUUGCAUCCCUCAUUAGGUGGGGAGUUAACAGUUCCCAGAACACAAACCCUCCAGGGAUGGCUCUGAAAGGCAGUAACUUGUAAACACACUAAUCCCCUUGUUUGUUAAUUCUUCCAGUCCUCCUGUCCUUAAUACCUGUUUUCCAGAGUGCUAGACAACAGUAUCUCCAGAGGGACUGGAGGUAGAAGGUACUAUUCUUUAGCCAGCAUUGCACUGUGAACAAAAGGCAUCUGGGAGAAAAAGCUCAACCCUGGAAAGCUCAGAGUUUGUAUUUUAACUUCACUGUGAUCUGUAACCUUGAGCAACUUCUUUUCUCCCCAGUGUCCCAAAAGGGGAACAGAA